GGUGAGUAGUGAGAAACAACGAGAGAUACCUGACGAAUCGCUUAAUGGAAUGCAUUUUUGUGUGCAAUGUUAUACAUAUUUAUGUUCAAUUAUAUGCAUAAUCAGAAGCCUUCUCUAGGUAUGUAUUUUUUUUUCUUUUCUUUUUUUGUUAUUUUGUACUGUCAUACACGCUCAGGCCUUUAAUGUCGUACACGCUCUAGUCAUUAAAGGAGGAUGAACGGACUCAUCAGUAUGAGCCAAAACUCGCGUCAGCAUAUCUUGCAUCGUCGGUUCAUAGUUGAAAU
Molecule: long non-coding RNA, 284 nt
Filed under: Salvia miltiorrhiza (redroot sage)
Lineage: Eukaryota; Viridiplantae; Streptophyta; Magnoliopsida; Lamiales; Lamiaceae
Description: long non-coding RNA (SMIL_LNC001019)
Source: RNAcentral